Myodes glareolus (Bank vole) is the source of this 1019-nucleotide long non-coding RNA. RefSeq lists it as uncharacterized. NCBI's taxonomy places the organism in Eukaryota, Metazoa, Chordata, Mammalia, Rodentia, Cricetidae. The record is from RefSeq and is a predicted model, not a curated record.
CAUGACCAGACAGGGGCCAGAUUCACUAGGCUGGGCUGGGGAGGGCAGACUCAGGAGCCCCUCUGUAGCUCUGUCUAGGCUCUUUCCCAGGAGGAGGACCAGAUGCGCUCAACCCAGAGGUAGGACGGCACAGGAGCCAUAGGCACCCCCACUGUGCACACAGACCUGGACAGAGGCUUCUUGUUAUGGGGUUAGUACAACUACUCCCAGGACCCAUGCCCCUCACUGCCAGUUCCCAGCCUUCCCAAGAGCCCCUCACGCUCUGUCAGCCAAAUCCUAAAGGUCACCGCCAUCCUGACUGCCCCAGGGGAACAAUGUGAGGCUUUAUGUGGAUCAACUGCUCCCCACUGUCUAGCUGACUCAGAGCUCCUGACAUGGGGCACCACACUUCCUUCUCACUUAGAUUCCAGCCUCUCUCACUCCCUGUCCUUCAUCCGAAUCCCCACUGACAGUGUGUUCCAUCCUUCUCGAAGAAGCCCACGCGGAGUGCCAGAGGAGCCCAAUCAGUCAGAAUGUGGUACAAGGAUCCCUGGGAGCUAACCCUGAGUCACUACCAGCUGUCUGACCGAUCUUGUCACCAAUGUCACUUCCAAGCUGAGUGUGUGAUUCUGAAGAGUGGAGGCAAAUGUGCCUCAUGUUGCAGCAGUGUGGACAAUUAAGACCAUAUGUGUGAUUAGAGUAACUGUUCAAUACAGGAUGCCACAUACCCAGUCUGCAUCUCCAGUUUGGGUCAUCUGCCUGCCUGCCUGUGGGGUAGGUGUCUGUGUGAGCUUACCUCCUCUAAUCUGAGGAGUUCAAGAACAAAUUCCACCCAUGCCCUGUUGUGAAACAGAAUAUUUGUUCAACUAAGUAGAGAUGUGUUGCAUCUGUUUGUGUUGCAGAAUAAUUGUUUAACUAUAUAAAGAUGGGUUGCAUUUCUUCAUGCUGCAUUUGUUAAACCGUGUAAAGGUGUGUUGCUUUGGUUUAUGCUGCAUUUGUUUAGCUAUGUCAAGAUGUGUUGCUGCCUGCCUAAGGCCCAU